AAUUGUAAUCUAGAGAAGUGUUUUUCCGCGACGGACCGUGCAUAAGUCUCCUGGAAUGGAGUGUCAUAGAGGGUGAGAAUCCCGUAUAUGGCACGGACUCCCGUUGCUCUGCGAUACACUCUCAACGAGUCGAGUUGUUUGGGAAUGCAGCUCUAAAUGGGUGGUAAAUGCCAUCUAAAGCUAAAUAUUGGCGAGAGACCGAUAGCGAACAAGUACCGUGAGGGAAAGAUGAAAAGCACUUUGGAAAGAGAGUGAAACAGUACGUGAAAUUGUUGAAAGGGAAACGCUUGAAGUCAGUCGCGCCGUUCGGGAUUCAGCCUUGCUUUUGCUCGGUUUACUUCGCGUUCGGUGGGUCAACAUCAGUUUUGGUCGGAGGAGAAAGGCUUGGGGAAGGUAGCAGCAUUCGUGCUGUGUUAUAGCCCCUUGUUGUAUACUUCGACUGGGACUGAGGACUGCAGCACGCCUUUGGCCGGGGUUCGCCCACGUACGUGCUUAGGAUGUUGGCAUAAUGGCUUUAAGCGACCCGUCUUGAAACACGGACCAAGGAGUCUAACAUGUGCGCGAGUGUUUGGGUGUUAAACUCAGACGCGAAAUGAAAGUGAAAAGUUGGGAACACUUGUGUGUGCACCGACGCCCGGAGCUGACCUUCUGUGACGCAUCUGCGGUAGAGCGUAUAUGUUGGGACCCGAAAGAUGGUGAACUAUGCCUGAAUAGGGUGAAGCCAGAGGAAACUCUGGUGGAGGCUCGUAGCGAUUCUGACGUGCAAAUCGAUCGU
Molecule: ribosomal RNA, 775 nt
Filed under: Sebacinales sp. SEB2
Lineage: Eukaryota; Fungi; Basidiomycota; Agaricomycetes; Sebacinales
Description: eukaryotic LSU rRNA
Rfam family: Eukaryotic large subunit ribosomal RNA
Source: RNAcentral